AUGCUUGUGUUGCACAACAGAGGCAAGAAAAAGUCCUUGUUCUUUCUGCCCGUUUGAUUGUGGCAGCCCAGACUGAAUGGGGGAAUCUGUCU
RNAcentral lists this small nucleolar RNA (92 nucleotides) under Sorex araneus (European shrew). RNAcentral describes it as "Small nucleolar RNA SNORA31 (ENSSARG00000018597.1)". Lineage: Eukaryota; Metazoa; Chordata; Mammalia; Eulipotyphla; Soricidae. The record is from RNAcentral.